Molecule: ribosomal RNA, 497 nt
Filed under: uncultured bacterium
Lineage: Bacteria
Description: partial 16S ribosomal RNA
Rfam family: Bacterial small subunit ribosomal RNA
Source: RNAcentral
GAUGAACGCUGGCGGCGUGCCUAAUACAUGCAAGUCGAGCGAACGGACGAGAAGCUUGCUUCUCUGAUGUUAGCGGCGGUCGGGUGAGUAACACGUGGAUAACCUACCUAUAAGACUGGGAUAACUUCGGGAAACCGGAGCUAAUACCGGAUAAUAUUUUGAACCGCAUGGUUCAAAAGUGAAAGACGGUCUUGCUGUCACUUAUAGAUGGAUCCGCGCUGCAUUAGCUAGUUGGUAAGGUAACGGCUUACCAAGGCAACGAUGCAUAGCCGACCUGAGAGGGUGAUCGGCCACACUGGAACUGAGACACGGUCCAGACUCCUACGGGAGGCAUCAGUAGGGAAUCUUCCGCAAUGGGCGAAAGCCUGACGGAGCAACGCCGCGUGAGUGAUGAAGGUCUUCGGAUCGUAAAACUCUGUUAUUAGGGAAGAACAUAUGUGUAAGUAACUGUGCACAUCUUGACGGUACCUAAUCAGAAAGCCACGGCUAACUACGUG